AAAAACAUUUGCUCUUUUCUUCUGAAUUAGCAGCCAGAAAGACGUAGUCCAGAAAGCUGUUGGUAGACUUAUUCUGAUUACUUGGGCUCUGAGAAAGGAGAAAAAAAGAGGAAGAAAAAUGAAUCUUGGCUCAAUUUGGAUACUUUAAUUAUGCACUGCUUGCUUUGAUUAUCUCAGUAUUAUUUGCAUUCCCUGCCUGCACAUCAAGAGAGAGUUCCAGAGUCCCAGACCUCAGGAAUUUCCUUUGUGGCGUACGGCCUCAAGAAAAGAUGACAAACACUUCAAUUAGCCUUCCCUCCAAUCACCAUUCGGGGAGAAGUGUGUGGGGGGACGUUCUCCGACCUCAGUGGAAAACAUCGCGGGCGGGCAGGGAGCAGCUGGCAGAGCAUCGACACGGUUCACAAACACGCUAGAGGCACUGGCUGUGGCAGACAAAGCCUGCCUUUUGGGGAAGACACGUGAAGCCCACUCCUCUAAGUGCUUCCUCUGGAGUCACACCACAGGGCUGACUUUUUCUUUGCUUUCAGCCGCAGCCGCUGACUCAAGGAGAUGAGGCAGCUUUGUCUUUCCUGCUGCAGAGCUCAUUUGGCUGCCGGGCCAUCUUUCGGGACUGGGCACCUGAAGAUGGAUGUGGAGAGGAAGGAACUGGAGAGCGCAGACAGGCAGGCAUCUGAGAAGCCGGCCUCCCGGGGCCAGGUGCUCGAAGAUGAAGGGGUCGCUUCCCGCGCGCGCGGCUGUGCCACCUCGGACAUCCCGGUGAGGCCCAACGGGGAUUUUCAGGUGAGCGGCUAAAACCACUGGUUUGUGCAGUUCAGCUAACACCCUAUUAUCUGACAGAAUGAGAAUGAGGGGAGAAGAGGGGGAAGGAGACCCUCUACUCGGAAGUAUGCCUUUUGCUCAGUCAACAUUCUCAUUUAUGAAUUGACGAUGAGGUUAUUCAUCCCAAGUGACAGCAGAAGGAUAAAUAAAAGCAACAUAUGCAAAAAAGUCCACCAGGGCUCCGGCCCACAGAAGAUACGCGGUCACCUGGUGCGAAUCUAAACCUCGCUCCUGGUGCCGGAGCCAGUCGCAGCCUGCGGGGGGAGGGGCAGCUCCAGGGCAUGGCGGGAAGCCCAUCGUCACUUCCAGAUGCACCAGUUCCCACAGUCACACGUGUGACCCUGUGCCCAAGGCGGCCACCCCCACUGAGUCCAGCGCGCUAGUUACUAAGCCGAGUGCCUCUCAGCUUCAGAUCCAUCCUUCUGUUCUCCAGUCUGGGACUCUGGAAACGGCAUUUUUCUCUUGAUAGCUGGUUCUCUGAGAAUCAGCCCGUAGAGAAAACUAGAGGAAGACAGGAAGGCGGGAAGAGGAGAGCACAUCCGUGCACGUGGUUCCCGACGCCAGCUUGCCCCUGCGCGCCCCACAUCAGCCUCCGUGUCUGCGCCGCCCCAGCAGAGACGUCAGCACCAGCCGGCCGUGCCCCUUCUCAGGUGUCCGAGUGCCAGCUCCGUGGAAUGCCUCCUCAAGUUUCUAGGUUCUGAUAACCCUGUGUCCUCCCUGUGUUUUCCUAACCUGAGAAACGAUGGGGGCUUUCUGUAGUUAAUAUUGCUACAUUAUUGUGGUGUGCCCUUUUUGCCUUUUUACUUCUUGAGCCCUUAGAGUACUGUACACACCCUGAUGCGUGUUGCUUUUUGCACAUUACAAUGUAUAUUGCAGGUAUUUGUGCAUAGAGGCCUUCCUCAGUUCAUUAUAUUAGCUGCAUAAAAUUUCUUUAGGUUGAUGUCUCUGCGUAGAAUUUCUUUAGGUUGAUGUGUCAUUAUUUAACUAGUCUCUUAUUGGUGGACGUUUGGUUUAUUUCAGUAUUUUGCCAGUUCACACAAUGCUUCAAUGAAUGAUACAGCAACAUUACAUACCCAUACAUCAUUUUGCAUACGUGCAAGUUUAUCUGUGGGACACAUUUUCUGAAGUGACGUUGCCAGGAUCUAAGGAAGGACAUACUCAUUUGGAUGUUGCCAAACUGCCCUCCGCAGGGACUGUACCAGUUUACACUCAUGCUAACAAUGUAUGGGAAUAUCUGCUUCCCCUCAGCUUCCCCAGCAGAGUGUUAUAAACCACUUCUGGAGUCAAUAAAGUGAGUCUUUCAUUGA
Molecule: long non-coding RNA, 2126 nt
Organism: Camelus dromedarius (Arabian camel)
Lineage: Eukaryota; Metazoa; Chordata; Mammalia; Artiodactyla; Camelidae
Exons: 3
Source: RefSeq, a predicted model, not a curated record